GUGGGGAAUCUUAGACAAUGGGCGCAAGCCUGAUCUAGCCAUGCCGCGUGAGCGAUGAAGGCCUUAGGGUUGUAAAGCUCUUUCAGCUGGGAAGAUAAUGACGGUACCAGCAGAAGAAGCCCCGGCUAACUCCGUGCCAGCAGCCGCGGUAAUACGGAGGGGGCUAGCGUUGUUCGGAAUUACUGGGCGUAAAGCGCACGUAGGCGGAUCAGAAAGUCAGAGGUGAAAUCCCAGGGCCCAACCUUGGAACUGCCUUUGAAACUCCUGAUCUUGAGGUCGAGAGAGGUGAGUGGAAUUCCGAGUGUAGAGGUGAAAUUCGUAGAUAUUCGGAGGAACACCAGUGGCGAAGGCGGCUCACUGGCUCGAUACUGACGCUGAGGUGCGAAAGCGUGGGGAGCAAACAGGAUUAGAUAACCGAGUAGUCC
RNAcentral lists this ribosomal RNA (425 nucleotides) under uncultured bacterium. Its description in RNAcentral is "partial 16S ribosomal RNA". It matches the Rfam family "Bacterial small subunit ribosomal RNA", at positions 354 to 796 of the family's 1533-position model. The record is from RNAcentral.